CUUUUCUUCUUGCUCCUCCUCCCUCCUCUUCCUCUUUCCUUCUCCCACUCUUUCCCUCUCCUUCCUUCCUGUCCCAAUGCGGGUAACUAGAUAUGAAUUGAGCCUCUCAGUUCAAAGGUGAGCGACAAGGCUGUGUCCAGAGACGAUUAUUGGCCUCUUGUUAAUAUGCCAGCACUCCAACGCUAUGUAACUGGAUCUCCCACGUGAAUUAACACAGAUUCAGAAUUGCACCCGUGUUUGAGAAGAAAGGCAAAGGCGAUGAGGGGGGAGUAAGCUGCUAAGAAAAAAAUACAGGGUCCAAUUUGCCAAGGAGGGGGAAAAAAGUGUCUGUCCGCGGUUUCCUAUGAAUUGCACCCCUAUAGUAGGUGAUUUCUGCAACUGUAUCGUCCCCCUUUCCUGUCUUUCAGAAGUCUGGUUCCGGCGCUCUCACAGCAAAGCUGCUUGUGGCUUUAAAAUGUUGAAUGGCAACUGAGAAGCUCCCGCUCAGAAUAAGCCGUAAACCAGCAAGUUUGCCCGAAGUGGUGGGAGCUGCUGGAACCUCACUCUCACAGGCUCUUCCCUGACGCAGCACCAGCAGCAGCAGUAGAGCUAGCUGCCCGAAGUACAUAGACUGAGACAGGGAGGGAAGAGAGGACGAGCCAACCGCUGCACUCCAGAAAGAACAGUCUUACCCUUUGCCUCUGCCUCUGCUGCUGCUUGUAGUGCUGUAAGUGGAGAUCACAAAACACCAGCCAGUCCUCCUAAAGCCAAGCCAUAUCACACUACAAUGAGUCUUGCUACUGCACUUGCCAACCCGUCAUCUCCGCAGUGACUUUUCUCCCCAACCUAUAUUGGGAAUCAUCCUGUGGCAAGUGUAUCAUGACCGGUGGUCCGGAGACCAGGCACGCGCCCGCUCUGCUGAUCUAGUGUUCUGAGGAACCAUGAUAAGCUGCAGUGGUGUAAGAGAGAGACCCUCAAACUCUGAUGAUAGGCAAAGGGAGGGAUCCUCUUUGGGGAGGGCAGACUUUUAGAGUUUCCAAAUACGGGGAUGUUUUUUGGGGGGAGAAGGGUCAUCAACCUUCAUUUUCUUUAUGUGGCAUUCGGGUCAUUUUGCAUGCCUGGCGGGUGGGGGGGAACGCUCAAAAUACUCCGUGUGUAUUUCUGAGGCAUAAACACAUGUAAAUCAGGAAGCUGCAGCCUUUAGCAGUGGACAAAAUGUAGCGUUACCUAUAUGGAUGAAAGGAAAAUAAACUUUAAUGGCAACUUUG
Phascolarctos cinereus (koala) is the source of this 1247-nucleotide long non-coding RNA. RefSeq lists it as uncharacterized. Lineage: Eukaryota; Metazoa; Chordata; Mammalia; Diprotodontia; Phascolarctidae. The record is from RefSeq and is a predicted model, not a curated record.